This is a non-coding RNA of Solanum tuberosum (potato), 134 nucleotides long. The record is from Rfam. Lineage: Eukaryota; Viridiplantae; Streptophyta; Magnoliopsida; Solanales; Solanaceae.
GAGAGCCAUGUGAUGUGUGAUUAUCCAGCACGGUUCGGAGAGCACUUUUAGUCUGUGCUGGUGAAUUGAAGCCCCCCUAUCAAGCAAAAAGGACGCGGCUCUUCCUACGGCGAAGUAAUCAACAUUGACUCUAU